RNAcentral lists this ribosomal RNA (253 nucleotides) under uncultured bacterium. Its description in RNAcentral is "partial 16S ribosomal RNA". It matches the Rfam family "Bacterial small subunit ribosomal RNA", at positions 524 to 776 of the family's 1533-position model. The record is from RNAcentral.
UACGAAGGGGGCUAGCGUUGUUCGGAAUUACUGGGCGUAAAGCGCGCGCAGGCGGUCUUCCAAGUCAGUGGUGAAAGCCCGGAGCUCAACUCCGGAACUGCCAUUGAAACUGUAAGACUUGAGGAUGAGAGAGGUGAGUGGAAUUCCCGGUGUAGAGGUGAAAUUCGUAGAUAUCGGGAGGAACACCGGUGGCGAAGGCGGCGGCCUGGGUAGAUACUGACGCUGAGGUGCGAAAGCGUGGGGAGCAAACAGG